Molecule: long non-coding RNA, 503 nt
Organism: Ictalurus punctatus (channel catfish)
Lineage: Eukaryota; Metazoa; Chordata; Actinopteri; Siluriformes; Ictaluridae
Source: Ensembl
UAGUAAGUAAUGAGUAGUGAGUAGGGAGUAGUGAAUAGUAAGUAAUGAGUAGUGAGUAGUGAGUAGGGAGUAGUGAAUAGUAAGUAGUGAGUAGGGAGUAAUGAGUAGUGAGUAGUAAGUAGUGAGUAGUAAGUAAUGAGUAGUGAGUAGGGAGUAGUGAGUAGUAAGUAGUGAGUAGGGAGUAGUGAGUAGUAAGUAGUGAGUAGUGAGUAGUAAGUAGUGAGUAGUGAGUAAUGAGUAGUGAGUAAUGAGUAGUGAGUAGUAAGUAGUGAGUAGGGAGUAGGGAGUAUGUAAUAGUGAGUAGUAAGUAAUGAGUAGUGAGUAGGGAGUAUGGAGUAGUGAGUAGGGAGUAGUGAGUAAGGGAGUAGUGAGUAGUGGUAAGGGAGUAGGGAGUAGUAAGUAAUGAGUAGUAAGUAAUGAGUAGUGAGUAGUAAGUAGUGAGUAGUAAGUAAUGAGUAGUGAGUAGUGAGUAGUAAGUAAUGAGUAGUGAGUAAUGAGUAGUG